AGUGAACGCUGGCGGUAGGCCUAACACAUGCAAGUCGAACGGCAGCACAGUAAGAGCUUGCUCUUACGGGUGGCGAGUGGCGGACGGGUGAGGAAUACAUCGGAAUCUACUUUUUCGUGGGGGAUAACGUAGGGAAACUUACGCUAAUACCGCAUACGACCUACGGGUGAAAGCAGGGGAUCUUCGGACCUUGCGCGAUUGAAUGAGCCGAUGUCGGAUUAGCUAGUUGGCGGGGUAAAGGCCCACCAAGGCGAUGAUCCGUAGCUGGUCUGAGAGGAUGAUCAGCCACACUGGAACUGAGACACGGUCCAGACUCCUACGGGAGGCAGCAGUGGGGAAUAUUGGACAAUGGGCGCAAGCCUGAUCCAGCUAUACCGCGUGGGUGAAGAAGGCCUUCGGGUUGUAAAGCCCUUUUGUUGGGAAAGAAAAGCAGCAGGUUAAUACCCCGCUGUUCUGACGGUACCCAAAGAAUAAGCACCGGCUAACUUCGUG
This 492-nucleotide ribosomal RNA is filed under the name uncultured bacterium. Its description in RNAcentral is "partial 16S ribosomal RNA". It matches the Rfam family "Bacterial small subunit ribosomal RNA", at positions 29 to 507 of the family's 1533-position model. The record is from RNAcentral.